This 494-nucleotide ribosomal RNA is filed under the name uncultured bacterium. RNAcentral describes it as "bacterial SSU rRNA". It matches the Rfam family "Bacterial small subunit ribosomal RNA", at positions 11 to 525 of the family's 1533-position model. The record is from RNAcentral.
GUUUGAUCAUGGCUCAGAUUGAACGCUGGCGGCAUGCCUUACACAUGCAAGUCGAACGGCAGCGCGGACUUCGGUCUGGCGGCGAGUGGCGAACGGGUGAGUAACAUAUCGGAACGUGCCCAGGAGUGGGGGAUAGCCCGGCGAAAGCCGGAUUAAUACCGCAUACGAUCUAUGGAUGAAAGUGGGGGACCGCAAGGCCUCACGCUCAUGGAGCGGCCGAUAACUGAUUAGCUAGUUGGUGGGGUAAAGGCCUACCAAGGCGACGAUCAGUAGCUGGUCUGAGAGGACGACCAGCCACACUGGGACUGAGACACGGCCCAGACUCCUACGGGAGGCAGCAGUGGGGAAUUUUGGACAAUGGGGGCAACCCUGAUCCAGCAAUGCCGCGUGAGUGAAGAAGGCCUUCGGGUUGUAAAGCUCUUUUGUCCGGGAAGAUAAUGACAGUACCGGGAGAAUAAGCUCCGGCUAACUCCGUGCCAGCAGCCGCGGUAAUA